GACUCGGGCUCCUCCAGCUUCUGCGGGGUUUGGCGCCGCCGCCCGUGAGCACCCAGGCCGGGACACGGCGGCACCUCUGCCGGGAUUCCUUUCCUAGGUGCUGGUGCCGGCCCAAGCCCCGGGCAGCGCUUUGUCGCGUCCGCCCCUCAGUGAUCAGCUCCGGGUCCCCCUGCUCGGCCCCGCGCGCCCCAAGCGCAGUCCCCGGAAGUGCGCGCCGGGGCCCCAGCAAAGAAGAGAAGAAGGAGAGUGGCCACGUUGAUUCAGCCAAGCACCUCCAGGAGGUCCUCUCUGGAUGUCCCAUGAGGCUGCCCCUCAGCCACAGCCCAGAGCACGUGGAGAUGGCUUUGCUCAGCAACAUCCUAGCGGCCUAUUCCUUUGUCUCAGGUGUGUCUUUGAGAAGAUGAGAAGAUCGCAGACCUGUGUUCUAAACUGGCAUGGUUCUAAAGAAAAGGU
RNAcentral lists this small RNA (453 nucleotides) under Pongo abelii (Sumatran orangutan). RNAcentral's name for it is "processed transcript". The record is from RNAcentral. Lineage: Eukaryota; Metazoa; Chordata; Mammalia; Primates; Hominidae.